GCACCGCUGCUCCGCGGAGCAGUGCAGGCACACCGAGAUAUACCUUCCCUUUCACCCGCGCUUUCCGGAAUAGGGCCUUCGCGUCAUGUCUGCGGCGGCGUGCUCGUGGAGUCACGCGGAGUGGACGCCGUACGAGGUCCUCAACGUGCCGCAGUCGGCCCCUAUUAGUGACAUUCGUGCUGCUUUCAAGCGCAUGGCGUUGCGCACGCACCCUGACAAGGCAACGGUGACGACGUCAGCUAGAAGGGCGAGCGGCGGCGGGACGACGCCGUGCUCAGAAUUUCCUGUUUCCUUUCACAUUGUGAAGGAGGCGUCGGAGAUGUUGCUUGACCCGUACUUGCGCGCCGCCUACGAUGCCACCCGCUCCCAGGCGUUGACGCACGAGGUUGGCGCUGUCAGUGAUACCUACUCUCUGAUGGACGACUUUGUUCGUGUAAGGAUGGACGGUGAUGAAAGCGAUGGGCAGCGCGUGCAUGUGUACCAGCGUGAGUGUCGCUGUGGCGGUGUCUAUGAAGUGGCUCUGUUUCCCGAGGCACCGGCAGGGAGUGGCGAGGACGAGGAUGUGCCACUGACGUACUCGGCCCAGACGCUGAGGUGCGAGUGCGAUUCUUGCUCACUUGUGGUGGAGGUAGUGGCGUAGCGCGCAGCGGAGCGCUAGGGACAUGCCCGUACUUUCACGUUGCUUGCAGCACAACGGACCAGUCCCGUCUGUCUUUCUGCCUUGGACUUCUCUCUUUAUUUCUCGCGUUGGUUUGAAGGUGCUGCUGCGCACUGUGUUGGGACCGCACCCUCGGCAUCCUGUGGAAGCCCUCACCGGGAAGGGCUUCAGCGUAGUACAGUGCUUGCGUGUAUGCGCCUACGCUUGCCUUGCAGUGCGCACGCAUCCGCCCAGCUGUUGCCGUCGCCACCUUGGUUUACUUAAAGGGAUGGCUGCCUUUCUCUGUCGUAUAAGCCCCGCGGGAAAGCACACGUACUCGCGCACAGCGUGCACGCAGGCCACUCAUCUCUGCAUGGCUUGGCGCACACACGCGUCUCUUCCGCUCGGAGCGAUCUGUAAGUUAUACGAGUAUCCGCAACCACAACGCAGAGGAAAAGCGAUGGGUAGAUGCCCGAAACUGAGGGCAACGGGGGGGGCGCACAGAGACACGAAGAGGACAACGACGGCGUCUCCCACGUCGCCUUCUGCUCCGUUUGAAAUCUUCACUUAGGUUUCUCCCCCAGCCACCCACAAACGCUCACUCGCUCUCUCUCGCGCUCAGAAAGAGCGGGGGCGCUGAGUCCGUUGGUGAAUGUACCCUUUCCAGCGUCGAUGUGGCAUACGCGCGCAUGGCCAACAUCCACGCACGCACGCUACCUUCUGCUCGACCCACCACCGCCCCUACCCCCUUUCACCACUCUCGCAUCUGCGAAG
This 1411-nucleotide unclassified non-coding RNA is filed under the name Leishmania donovani. RNAcentral describes it as "gene:LdHU3.18.1870(CDS-product:chaperone_protein_ DNAj_putative)". The record is from RNAcentral. Lineage: Eukaryota; Euglenozoa; Kinetoplastea; Trypanosomatida; Trypanosomatidae.